AUCUACAGCCACACCACCCUGAACAUGGUCCAAUCUCAUCAGAUCUCAGAAGCUAAGCAGGGUCGGAGCUGGUUAGUACUUGGACAGAAGAAUGAUCUUUGGAGAGAUUUUUUCUUUGAAAAAU
This 124-nucleotide ribosomal RNA is filed under the name Colobus angolensis palliatus. The record is from RNAcentral. Lineage: Eukaryota; Metazoa; Chordata; Mammalia; Primates; Cercopithecidae.